CCUACGGGAGGCAGCAGUGGGGAAUAUUGCACAAUGGGGGAGACCCUGAUGCAGUGACGCCGCGUGAGUGAAGAAGUAAUUCGUUAUGUAAAGCUCUAUCAGCAGGGAAGAAAAUGACGGUACCUGAGGAAGAAUCCCCGGCUAGCUACGUGCCAGCAGCCGCGGUAAUACGGAGGGGGCAAGCGUUAUCCGGAUUUACUGGGUGUAAUGGGAGCGUAGACGGCAGUGCAAGUCUGGAGUGAAAGGCGGGGGCUCAACCCCCGGACUGCUCUGGAAACUGUACGGCUGGAGUGCAGGAGAGGUAAGUGGAAUUCCUAGUGUAGCGGUGAAAUGCGUAGAUAUCAGGAGGAACACCAGUGGCGAAGGCGGCUUACUGGACUGUAACUGACGUUGAGGCUCGAAAGCGUGGGGAGCAAACAGGAUUAGAUACCCGAGUAGUC
RNAcentral lists this ribosomal RNA (440 nucleotides) under uncultured bacterium. RNAcentral describes it as "partial 16S ribosomal RNA". It matches the Rfam family "Bacterial small subunit ribosomal RNA", at positions 338 to 795 of the family's 1533-position model. The record is from RNAcentral.